Molecule: ribosomal RNA, 254 nt
Filed under: uncultured bacterium
Lineage: Bacteria
Description: partial 16S ribosomal RNA
Rfam family: Bacterial small subunit ribosomal RNA
Source: RNAcentral
CACGUAGGGCGCAAGCGUUGUCCGGAAUUAUUGGGCGUAAAGAGCUCGUAGGCGGCUCGGUAAGUCAGGUGUGAAACCUCCAGGCUCAACCUGGAGACGCCACCUGAUACUGCUGUGGCUAGAGUCCGGUAGGGGAGCGUGGAAUUCCUGGUGUAGCGGUGAAAUGCGCAGAUAUCAGGAGGAACACCAGCGGCGAAGGCGGCGCUCUGGGCCGGAACUGACGCUGAGGAGCGAAAGCGUGGGUAGCAAACAGG